This is a long non-coding RNA of Aedes albopictus (Asian tiger mosquito), 1424 nucleotides long. RefSeq lists it as uncharacterized. Lineage: Eukaryota; Metazoa; Arthropoda; Insecta; Diptera; Culicidae. The transcript is spliced from 2 exons. The record is from RefSeq and is a predicted model, not a curated record.
AGCAUUUUCCAUACAAAUCAAUAAAGACACAAAUGUAACGCCAUCUAUUGAUAAAAAAGUGCGUGAGCGAUUUUUUUUGACUAUCGCGCUUUUAGCGUGCACUGUGAAAUAAAACGUCAAAAACCAAAACAAACAUUUUGCUCUUCUGCUGGAAGUUUUCAAAACAUUUUUCAUUCGCUGCAGUGAAGUCGUUUCGUUACUGUUUUCAGCAGAUUAUCCGUAUAAAGGUUCUCACUCGUUGUUUGCCCGUAUACGAUCUGUUGCAGUAGGCAGCCGCGCUAGGAGCCUUUUCUGAUUGCGACAGCGAUUGCAAGGACGUGGUGCAAGCAGGUAGUUGCUACGCCCAAGAUACCACCGCCCGGAACCCAAAAGGACAUUUGGCUGGAAAAUGAUUGCUGCGUUGGAACCAGCGCGCCAUACGACCAAAACAGUUCUUUGUGCAUUGGAUUGUCGGGGAAACGAAAAAUCAGCAAGAACUUUGCAACCCGGUGAGUUUUUGAAAGUUGACCAGCAAUGAAGUAGGCCGCAAUUUCGUUUCAUAAUCCGGUGCAUUGCUAUCGCUGUAGGGCCUUCCCCGAUUUACCCACGUUUAUAAUUAUAUAAUCUGAAGGACAAUAAUUUAAGCAAUGUGCGAGGGUGCAUCGAGGAAAACCCUACAUUGACAAACGUCCUUAUUUACAAUGGAUCAUUCAUAAAUGACAUAUCAUUUCAAGAUAAGGUACACCGAGGCAAGAUGAAACGCGAAAUUUUGAGAUAGAUUUCAAUACAAUUUGGAAAUUUAUCCUUCCCUAAAAGAUUGUUUGAAUCAAAAACUAUGUGUUAUGGCAAUUAAAUUGUUUAUCAUCAUAUGAAAACAAUAUGUUAUCCCGCUGUUUCAUCUUGCCCCUCCCGUUUCAACUUGCCCCGGAAUACCUGAUUUUGCUAUGAAUCAUUUAUUGUCAAAAAUCAAACAAAAAGUGCUCAUUUAUGAAUGCUGCCCUAAAAAACAGUAGCGAUCUCUAUUUCUUGUCACCUUUCGAAAACUCACAAGGGUUGUAAACGUUUUUGCUGAUCUGUAAUGCAAAUGUGAAAAUAUCGAUACACGAUUUGAUGCAAUUCGUCCAAUUAGUGACGAUCGAUAACAAAGUACAUAGGAUGCAGAACUAUUUUUGCAGUGGGUUCUGUUUUAAGCAUUUUCCGCCAAAUUUCAACCGAUCUCAUAUCAAUAGAUUUUUUAGUUGACGUUGAGUUACGUUUCAAAUUGAUUUAAGUAUAGCGCAAAAUGCUCAAAAUAGGAUUCCCUGCCCAAAUAGUACAAUUCCCUAUUUCGAAGGGUUUCGACCUAAUGAUGAAGAAAGUAUUGAUGUUAUAUAAUAUUAUGUUAGUGCUUUUGGAAGAGGUAUAAUAAGAAGUGGAUGAAAUAGAGAAUAAAAUUUGACUACAUU